This 86-nucleotide small RNA is filed under the name Choloepus hoffmanni (Hoffmann's two-fingered sloth). RNAcentral's name for it is "7SK RNA (ENSCHOG00000016050.1)". The record is from RNAcentral. Lineage: Eukaryota; Metazoa; Chordata; Mammalia; Pilosa; Megalonychidae.
GUGAUCCAGCUGUGUCUUCUACCACUCCACUGAUUUCCAGAGUAGAUGCUGCUGAUUUGACUGGCUAGGCAGGUUUGUCCUUCCUC